GGGACUGUAGCUCAGCUGGUUAGAGCGCACGCCUGAUAAGCGUGAGGGCGGUAGUUCCAGUCUACUCAGCCCCUCCA
Molecule: transfer RNA, 77 nt
Filed under: Pseudoalteromonas ruthenica
Lineage: Bacteria; Pseudomonadati; Pseudomonadota; Gammaproteobacteria; Alteromonadales; Pseudoalteromonadaceae
Description: tRNA-Ile
Rfam family: tRNA
About the family: Transfer RNA (tRNA) molecules are approximately 80 nucleotides in length. Their secondary structure includes four short double-helical elements and three loops (D, anti-codon, and T loops). Further hydrogen bonds mediate the characteristic L-shaped molecular structure. tRNAs have two regions of fundamental functional importance: the anti-codon, which is responsible for specific mRNA codon recognition, and the 3' end, to which the tRNAs corresponding amino acid is attached (by aminoacyl-tRNA synthetases). tRNAs cope with the degeneracy of the genetic code in two manners: having more than one tRNA (with a specific anti-codon) for a particular amino acid; and 'wobble' base-pairing, i.e. permitting non-standard base-pairing at the 3rd anti-codon position.
Source: RNAcentral